AACGAACGCUGGCGGCAUGCCUAACACAUGCAAGUCGAACGAGACCUUCGGGUCUAGUGGCGCACGGGUGCGUAACGCGUGGGAACCUGCCCUUAGGUUCGGAAUAACUCCCCGAAAGGGGUGCUAAUACCGGAUAAUGUCUUCGGACCAAAGAUUUAUCGCCUUUGGAUGGGCCCGCGUUGGAUUAGCUAGUUGGUAGGGUAAAAGCCUACCAAGGCGACGAUCCAUAGCUGGUCUGAGAGGAUGAUCAGCCACACUGGGACUGAGACACGGCCCAGACUCCUACGGGAGGCAGCAGUGGGGAAUAUUGGACAAUGGGCGAAAGCCUGAUCCAGCAAUGCCGCGUGAGUGAUGAAGGCCUUAGGGUUGUAAAGCUCUUUUACCCGGGAUGAUAAUGACAGUACCGGGAAAAUAAGCUCCGGCUAACUCCGUG
Molecule: ribosomal RNA, 433 nt
Filed under: uncultured bacterium
Lineage: Bacteria
Description: partial 16S ribosomal RNA
Rfam family: Bacterial small subunit ribosomal RNA
Source: RNAcentral